Molecule: non-coding RNA, 106 nt
Organism: Xylariaceae sp. FL0594
Lineage: Eukaryota; Fungi; Ascomycota; Sordariomycetes; Xylariales; Xylariaceae
Source: the annotation of a GenBank genome assembly
GGCAAGAUGGCCGAGUUGGUUAUGGCGUGAGGUUAAGGUGUACCUUAGCAAACAAACAAAUUUCCUCAUGGAGCAAUCCGCGUGGGUUCAAGUCCCACUCUUGUCA